GAUGAAGAACGUAGCGAAAUGCGAUAAGUAGUGUGAAUUGCAGAAUUCAGUGAAUCAUCGAAUCUUUGAACGCACAUUGCGCCCGCCAGCAUUCUGGCGGGCAUGCCUGUUCGAGCGUCAUUUCAACCCCUCAGGCCCUAGCGCCUGGCGUCGGAGGCUUUCCCCCCUCACCGGGGAACCUCUCAGAAACAGUGGCGGACCCGCCGCGGCUCCGAGCGCAGUAGUUAAAAAGCGUGUCGCUCUGGAGAUCACCGCGGGGAGCCUCGCCGUUAAACCGGGCCGGUGACCUGGCCCACGCACAAGGUUGACCUCGGAUCAGGUAGGAAUACCCGCUGAACUUAAGCAUAUCAAUAAGCGGAGGA
RNAcentral lists this unclassified non-coding RNA (362 nucleotides) under soil metagenome. RNAcentral describes it as "partial contains 5.8S ribosomal RNA, internal transcribed spacer 2, and large subunit ribosomal RNA". The stretch from base 1 to 120 matches the Rfam family "5.8S ribosomal RNA", at positions 35 to 154 of the family's 154-position model. The record is from RNAcentral.